GACGAACGCUGGCGGCGUGCUUAACACAUGCAAGUCGAACGGUAAGGCCCUUCGGGGUACACGAGUGGCGAACGGGUGAGUAACACGUGGGUGAUCUGCCCUGCACUUCGGGAUAAGCCUGGGAAACUGGGUCUAAUACCGGAUAGGACCACUGCCUGCAUGGGUGGUGGUGGAAAGCUUUUGCGGUGUGGGAUGGGCCCGCGGCCUAUCAGCUUGUGGGUGGGGUGAUGGCCUACCAAGGCGACGAAGUGUAGCCGGCCUGAGAGGGUGACCGGCCGCACUGGGACUGCGAUACGGACCAGACGCCUACGGGAGGCAGCAGUGGGGAAUAUUGCACAAUGGGCGCAAGCCUGAUGCAGCGACGCCGCGUGAGGGAGGACGGCCUUCGGGUUGUAGCCCUCUUUCAGCACCGACGAAGCGCAAGUGACGUAAGGUGCAGAAGAAGGACCGGCCAACUACGUGCCUGCCGCCGCGGUAA
Molecule: ribosomal RNA, 478 nt
Filed under: uncultured bacterium
Lineage: Bacteria
Description: partial 16S ribosomal RNA
Rfam family: Bacterial small subunit ribosomal RNA
Source: RNAcentral